RNAcentral lists this ribosomal RNA (253 nucleotides) under uncultured bacterium. RNAcentral's name for it is "partial 16S ribosomal RNA". It matches the Rfam family "Bacterial small subunit ribosomal RNA", at positions 524 to 776 of the family's 1533-position model. The record is from RNAcentral.
UCCGGAGGGUGCAAGCGUUGCUCGGAAUUAUUGGGCGUAAAGCGUACGCAGGCGGCGCGACAAGUCGAGUGUGAAAUCCCGGGGCUCAACCCCGGACGUGCAUUCGAGACUGCCGUGCUUGAGUGCGGGAGAGGGAAGCGGAAUUCCUGGUGUAGAGGUGAAAUUCGUAGAUAUCAGGAGGAACACCGGUGGCGAAAGCGGCUUCCUGGCCCGACACUGACGCUCAUGUACGAAAGCGUGGGGAGCAAACAGG